UGCAAGUCGAGCGCAUCCUUCGGGAUGAGCGGCGGACGGGUGAGUAACGCGUGGGAAUGUGCCCUUCUCUACGGNAAUAGCCACUGGAAACGGUGAGUAAUACCGUAUACGCCCUCAGGGGGAAAGAUUUAUCGGAGAAGGAUCAGCCCGCGUUAGAUUAGGUAGUUGGUGGGGUAACGGCCUACCAAGCCUACGAUCUAUAGCUGGUUUUAGAGGAUGAUCAGCCACACUGGGACUGAGACACGGCCCAGACUCCUACGGGAGGCAGCAGUAGGGAAUCUUGGACAAUGGGGGCAACCCUGAUCCAGCCAUGCCGCGUGAGUGAAGAAGGCCCUAGGGUCGUAAAGCUCUUUCGCCUGUGAUGAUAAUGACAGUAGCAGGUAAAGAAACCCCGGCUAACUCCGUGCCAGCAGCCGCGGUAAUACGGAGGGGGUUAGCGUUGUUCGGAAUUACUGGGCGUAAAGCGCGCGUAGGCGGAUUGGAAAGUUGGGGGUGAAAUCCCGGGGCUCAACCCCGGAACUGCCUUCAAAACUCCCAGUCUAGAGUUCGAGAGAGGUGAGUGGAAUUCCGAGUGUAGAGGUGAAAUUCGUAGAUAUUCGGAAGAACACCAGUGGCGAAGGCGGCUCACUGGCUCGAUACUGACGCUGAGGUGCGAAAGUGUGGGGAGCAAACAGGAUUAGAUACCCUGGUAGUCCACACCGUAAACGAUGAAUGCCAGUCGUCGGAUAGUAUACUAUUCGGUGACACACCUAACGGAUUAAGCAUUCCGCCUGGGGGAGUACGGUCGCAAGAUUAAAACUCAAAUGANUUGACGGA
RNAcentral lists this ribosomal RNA (816 nucleotides) under uncultured Rhodobacterales bacterium. RNAcentral's name for it is "SSU rRNA". It matches the Rfam family "Bacterial small subunit ribosomal RNA", at positions 56 to 917 of the family's 1533-position model. The record is from RNAcentral. Lineage: Bacteria; Pseudomonadati; Pseudomonadota; Alphaproteobacteria; Rhodobacterales.